GGGAACUGCAGCAAGACAACAGCAAGACACAAGGAAUGGCCAAAAAAGAUGCAAAGCUGCCACCAAAAAGUGCCACCAGCAAGAUAAAAUCUAGAACAAGCUAUGUCUAGCUACAAGCUUUGUUGAAGUGCUGGUUUGAGAAGGGGAUAGGAAACCAAGGCCCAGCUACUAAUUUAACUUCUAGUCAUCCUAUGGACUGGUUCAGACUGGUUCCAGACUGGUUCCAGAUCGGCAAAGGAGUAAGACAAGGCUGUAUACUUUCUCCUUCUUUAUUCAAUUUAUAUGCUGAACAUAUACUGGGAGAAGAUGGAUUGGAAGAAGAUGAGUGUGGUUUUAAAGUUGGAGAAAGAAACAUCAAUAACUUGCACUACGUUGAUGAUACCACUCUGAUAGCUGAGGAUGCGGAUGAUCUGCAAGCUCCAGUAUGAAAGUCAAGGAGCACAGUGAAAAAAUGGGACUACGACUAAAUGUAAAGAAAACUAAACUAAUGACAAUGGGUACAGCAACCAGCCCCAGAAUUGAUAACGAAGACACUGAAAUGGUGGAUAGAUUCUGCCUUUUAGGAUCGACCAUCAAAAGCAAAGGAUACAGCAGCCAAGAAAUACUCUGCAGACUAGCACUUGGUAGGGUUGCAAUGAAGGCCUUGGAAAGGAUAUUUUGAUGCUGUGACAUUUCUAUACCUAUAAAUAUUAGAAUUGUUCAGACCAUGGUUUUUCCCAUGACACUCUAUGGAUGCGAAAGCUGGACUUUAAAGAAGCAAGAUAGAAAAAGUAUUGAUGCUUUUGAACUUUGGUGCUGGAAAAGACUUUUGAGGAUACCAUGGACAGCCAGGAAAACAAGCAAAUGGAUCACAGAACAAAUCAAUCCAGAACUUUCACUCGAGGCACAAAUGAUCAGACUCAAAUUAUCAUACUUUGAACACAUUAUGCAAAAACCCAGCUCCCUUGAGAAGUCCAUAAUGCUGGGAAAAGUUGAAGAAAAGAGAAGAGGAUGACCAGGAGCAAGGUGGAUGGACUCGAUUAAGACAACAAUGAAUGCACCACUGAUAAACCUUAAAGGCCAAGUUAAAGAUAGAUCAUACUGGAGAGAAUCUUUCUAUAUGGUCACUAAGAGUCAACACCGACUUGACAGCAAUCAAUCAAUCAAUCAAUCAUCAUAUGGCUGAGCCCUCUUUUACCUCGGUUCUGGCAAAUGGGAAGGGAGUACAUUUUAUUUACUUAAGGUGAAUUUGUACC
This is a long non-coding RNA of Hemicordylus capensis (graceful crag lizard), 1235 nucleotides long. RefSeq lists it as uncharacterized. NCBI's taxonomy places the organism in Eukaryota, Metazoa, Chordata, Lepidosauria, Squamata, Cordylidae. The transcript has 3 exons. The record is from RefSeq and is a predicted model, not a curated record.